AAAAAGGUAAGCUAAAUAUAAGCUAAUGGGUUCAUACCCCGUAAAUAGGAACUAUCCUCCUUUUUA
Molecule: transfer RNA, 66 nt
Filed under: Atlanticus sinensis
Lineage: Eukaryota; Metazoa; Arthropoda; Insecta; Orthoptera; Tettigoniidae
Description: tRNA-Met
Source: RNAcentral